GCAGAGCCAUCCUACGGGGGGCAGCAGUGGGGAAUAUUGCACAAUGGGCGCAAGCCUGAUGCAGCCAUGCCGCGUGUAUGAAGAAGGCCUUCGGGUUGUAAAGUACUUUCAGCAGUGAGGAAGGUGGGUAUGUUAAUAGCAUACUCAUUUGACGUUAGCUGCAGAAGAAGCACCGGCUAACUCCGUGCCAGCAGCCGCGGUAAUACGGAGGGUGCGAGCGUUAAUCGGAAUUACUGGGCGUAAAGCGCAUGCAGGUGGUUUGUUAAGUCAGAUGUGAAAGCCCGGGGCUCAACCUCGGAAUUGCAUUUGAAACUGGACAAACUAGAGUACUGUAGAGGGGGUAGAAUUUCAGGUGUAGCGGUGAAAUGCGUAGAGAUCUGAAGGAAUACCGGUGGCGAAGGCGGCCCCCUGGACAGAUACUGACACUCAGAUGCGAAAGCGUGGGGAGCAAACAGGAUUAGAUACCCUGGUAG
RNAcentral lists this ribosomal RNA (473 nucleotides) under uncultured bacterium. RNAcentral describes it as "bacterial SSU rRNA". It matches the Rfam family "Bacterial small subunit ribosomal RNA", at positions 329 to 793 of the family's 1533-position model. The record is from RNAcentral.